Molecule: ribosomal RNA, 433 nt
Filed under: uncultured bacterium
Lineage: Bacteria
Description: partial 16S ribosomal RNA
Rfam family: Bacterial small subunit ribosomal RNA
Source: RNAcentral
AGCGAACGCUGGCGGCAGGCCUAACACAUGCAAGUCGAACGAACCUUUCGGGGUUAGUGGCGGACGGGUGAGUAACACGUGGGAACGUGCCUUUAAGUUCGGAAUAACUCAGGGAAACUUGUGCUAAUACCGAAUGUGCCCUUCGGGGGAAAGAUUUAUCGCCUUUAGAGCGGCCCGCGUCUGAUUAGCUAGUUGGUUGAGGUAAUGGCUCACCAAGGCGACGAUCAGUAGCUGGUCUGAGAGGAUGAUCAGCCACAUUGGGACUGAGACACGGCCCAAACUCCUACGGGAGGCAGCAGUGGGGAAUCUUGCGCAAUGGGCGAAAGCCUGACGCAGCCAUGCCGCGUGAAUGAUGAAGGUCUUAGGAUUGUAAAAUUCUUUCACCGGGGACGAUAAUGACGGUACCCGGAGAAGAAGCCCCGGCUAACUUCGU